AACAAGCAGCAAAUUCCUCUUCCAGGUUGGGCACAGAGCAUCAAACAACAGACUGAUGCCACUGUUUUUGAAAGAGAUGUUUUCAGUUCAAAAAGAUCAGGUGGACUUGUUGAUGGAUGAACGUAAGGGCAUGAAGACAACAGCUGGUUUUUAAGUAUAUGUGAUGAUCCAACCUACCCAGAUAUGCCACAAAGAUAUGGCCAACGGCUCUUGGUGAUUAGAGUUGGAUGUUGUCUUCAUCAGAAGCCAGACAUGGAGAAUCUAUCCAAAUUAUGGACGCACGGUUUUGUCACCAAACAAAGCCUAUUGGGGAGCUGGAUAUGAAGCUUACUCGGUGAUUUCACGUGCAAGAUUGUCAUGUUAGAUUGCACUGUCAGAGAAAAUGUGUUAAUUGCUAUUAUUUUAGACUUGUCAGUUAUACUGAUAGAAAAUGUGGGCUGCGACGACUCCGGGAAGAAAAGUGUUAUAAGAGAUUCCAAGUGUGUUUGAAUCUGUUAAAACUAGGGCAAGUCCGCCAGUGUUGUUUUUGUUUUCUCAUUUACAUAAAAAGA
Molecule: non-coding RNA, 551 nt
Organism: Musa acuminata subsp. malaccensis (wild Malaysian banana)
Lineage: Eukaryota; Viridiplantae; Streptophyta; Magnoliopsida; Zingiberales; Musaceae
Source: RefSeq, a predicted model, not a curated record